CCUUUCUAAUAGCUACAUAAUGAAUAAGUAGGGAGAGAGAGAGAGGUUUCCAUCUUCUCUCAAGGAGGAAAGGAAGAGGACUGAUUCAACUCAGGAAGUACAUGAGGAGUCAAGGCAGGGGUCCAGAGAAGAGGCAAUCAUGAACAGAUUGUGAGAGCCUCUGGAACACGGAACUAUUAUAUGUACUUCAUUCUUUACAAUGGACAGCUUCUCACGAUUGACUGCAAGUCGAUAAACCAGAAACAUGUCAGUAAAAUAUCAGGAUACAAGAGCGCACCUUCCAAGCAAGUGCAGUGUCUGAAGUCACCCAAGUCUAAUUCCUAUGCCCCAUUACUGAGAUCAUUCUAUUGACUUUGUCAAACCAAUUUCAAACUUUAGUGCCUGUAGAAUCUCGGAAAAAAUGGAGCGGGAACCAGAUUUGGGCAGCUUCAGACUCCCACCCACUGGGAGCAUGCACUAAUAAUUUCCCAGCUUACUGACUUAUGGCAGAUCAUGUGAAGCCACCCCAUGUAAACUGCUUUGUGAACUUAAUGGUUUAUGUAGUGACUGUGUGUUUAUAGUAGCAUUACUUGAGUGUAAAUUUUGACAAAUACUCAUGUAUAUAGUUGAUGAAUCAGUUAUUGUAACAGAGAGCAGAUAUAAAAGGAGAUGACUGUGUAUGCAAGCUGAUUGCCUAGUGACUCAGACAAAUAAAAGUGUUUUGAAUCCUG
Molecule: long non-coding RNA, 710 nt
Organism: Hemicordylus capensis (graceful crag lizard)
Lineage: Eukaryota; Metazoa; Chordata; Lepidosauria; Squamata; Cordylidae
Exons: 2
Source: RefSeq, a predicted model, not a curated record